AGUGAACGCUGGCGGUAGGCCUAACACAUGCAAGUCGAACGGCAGCACAGAGGAGCUUGCUCCUUGGGUGGCGAGUGGCGGACGGGUGAGGAAUACAUCGGAAUCUACUCUGUCGUGGGGGAGAACGUAGGGAAACUUACGCUAAUACCGCAUACGACCUACGGGUGAAAGCAGGGGACCUUCGGGCCUUGCGCGAUUGAAUGAGCCGAUGUCGGAUUAGCUAGUUGGCGGGGUAAAGGCCCACCAAGGCGACGAUCCGUAGCUGGUCUGAGAGGAUGAUCAGCCACACUGGAACUGAGACACGGUCCAGACUCCUACGGGAGGCAGCAGUGGGGAAUAUUGGACAGUGGGCGCAAGCCUGAUCCAGCCAUACCGCGUGGGUGAAGAAGGCCUUCGGGUUGUAAAGCCCUUUUGUUGGGAAAGAAAUCCAGCUGGCUAAUACCCGGUUGGGAUGACGGUACCCAAAGAAUAAGCACCGGCUAACUUCGUGCCAGCAGCCGCGGUAA
Molecule: ribosomal RNA, 506 nt
Filed under: uncultured bacterium
Lineage: Bacteria
Description: partial 16S ribosomal RNA
Rfam family: Bacterial small subunit ribosomal RNA
Source: RNAcentral